Molecule: ribosomal RNA, 795 nt
Filed under: uncultured bacterium
Lineage: Bacteria
Description: bacterial SSU rRNA
Rfam family: Bacterial small subunit ribosomal RNA
Source: RNAcentral
AGAGUUUGAUCAUGGCUCAGAUUGAACGCUGGCGGAAUGCUUUACACAUGCAAGUCGAACGGCAGCACGGGUGCUUGCACCUGGUGGCGAGUGGCGAACGGGUGAGUAAUAUAUCGGAACGUAUCCAAUAAUGGGGGAUAACGAGUCGAAAGAUUCGCUAAUACCGCAUACGCCCUACGGGGGAAAGCAGGGGAUCUUCGGACCUUGCGUUAAUGGAGCGGCCGAUAUCUGAUUAGCUAGUUGGUGGGGUAAAGGCCCACCAAGGCUUCGAUCAGUAGCUGGUCUGAGAGGACGACCAGCCACACUGGAACUGAGACACGGUCCAGACUCCUACGGGAGGCAGCAGUGGGGAAUUUUGGACAAUGGGCGCAAGCCUGAUCCAGCCAUUCCGCGUGAGUGAAGAAGGCCUUCGGGUUGUAAAGCUCUUUCGCAAGGGAAGAAAACUUACCUUCUAAUAAAGGGUGAGGCUGACGGUACCUUGAUAAGAAGCACCGGCUAACUACGUGCCAGCAGCCGCGGUAAUACGUAGGGUGCGAGCGUUAAUCGGAAUUACUGGGCGUAAAGCGUGCGCAGGCGGUUUUGUAAGUCAGAUGUGAAAGCCCCGGGCUCAACCUGGGAACUGCGUUUGAAACUACAAGGCUAGAGUAUGGCAGAGGGGGGUAGAAUUCCACGUGUAGCAGUGAAAUGCGUAGAGAUGUGGAGGAAUACCAAUGGCGAAGGCAGCCCCCUGGGUCAAUACUGACGCUCAUGCACGAAAGCGUGGGGAGCAAACAGGAUUAGAUACCCUAGUAGUCC